AGGGUGUAAACGCUGCAGACUUGGUGUUGGAAGUCCUUUGGGGGCAUUCAGUGCCGGAGAGAAGUUGUUAAGUCUGCUACUUGGGGAGUACGUCCGCAAGGAUGAAACUUAAAGGAAUUGGCGGGGGAGCACCACAACAGGUGGAGCCUGCGGUUUAAUUGGACUCAACGCCGGGAAGCUCACCGGAUAGGACAGCAGAAUGAUUGCCGGGCUGAAGACCCUGCAUGACUAGCUGAGAGGUGGUGCAUGGCGUAGACGUGU
This 261-nucleotide ribosomal RNA is filed under the name uncultured archaeon. Its description in RNAcentral is "partial 16S ribosomal RNA". It matches the Rfam family "Archaeal small subunit ribosomal RNA", at positions 748 to 1009 of the family's 1478-position model. The record is from RNAcentral.